ACCUUGGUGGGAUCAGGAAUUAGAAAACUUAAAGCAUGACAAAUAUGCAGCACUCAGAGCCCAUAGAGAUCACAGUGCAGACUUUGAUAUCUUCAGACAGUUACGAGCACUCUUCAAAUGUACAUUUAAGCAAAAAAGAUAAUUACAUUUCCAAAAUAAACAGAAAGAUGAACUAGUAGCAGCAAGCACUAACCCUAAAUUAUUUUGGAAAACACUUAAAAAAUGCAGAUCUUCACCACAACUUUCAUCCAAUAUCUCAUGCUAACAGUGGACAGAUCACUUCUCAGAUCUGUUGUGCAUUAAAACUCCUCAAAACACACCAGAACAUUUACCUUCACCUUUACAUUCUACAAGCAACACUGAUUCUUUUUUUAACCAACCAUUUUCCGAACAAGAAAUAUCUACAACAAUCCUCUCUUUGCCAAAUCGUAAAGCUCCUGGACCAGGCGGAAUUGCUAAUGAAUUUUUAAAGGAGUCGAGAAGUUUCAUUGUCCCUACUCUCACUGUUCUUUUUAACAAAAUUUAUGACUCUGGCUAUUUCCCUCCCAGUUGGGGUAAGAGCAUAAUUUGCCCUUUGUUGAAAUCUGGCGACAAGAACGACCCUGA
This is a long non-coding RNA of Haliotis rubra (blacklip abalone), 606 nucleotides long. RefSeq lists it as uncharacterized. The transcript is spliced from 3 exons. NCBI's taxonomy places the organism in Eukaryota, Metazoa, Mollusca, Gastropoda, Lepetellida, Haliotidae. The record is from RefSeq and is a predicted model, not a curated record.